GAAACUAAUCAGGAUUCCUCAGUAGUUGUGAGCGAAGAGGGAAGAGCCCAGCACCGAAUCCCCUGUCCCCUCAAGGGAAUGGGGAAAUGUGGCGUACUGAAGUCAGCAUCACCCAGCAUGGCCCUGGGGGCCUGAGUCCUUCUGAUAGAGGCUCAGCCUGUGGAUGGUGUGAGGCCGGUAACAGUCUUCGGCCCACCAGGGCACAGUUUUCUCAGAGUCAGGUUCUUUGGGAAUGCAGCCCAAAACAUGUGGUAAACUCCAUCUAAGGCUAAAUCCCGCCAUGAGACUGAUAGCGAACAAGUACCAUAAGGGAAAGUUGAAAAGAACUUUGAAGAGAGAGUUCAACAAGGCACGAAACCGUUAAGAGAUAAUCUGAUGGGGUCCGCACCGUCCACCCGGGGGACUCAACACGGCAGUGGGUCACCCCUGCCAGCGAGGGUGCGCCUCAAACUCUCGAAUGGUGGUUUUCCUCCACGGCGGCAGGCUGCAACCAGCUCCGGUUCUACUUGGAAGGGUCAGGGGGCGAAGGUGGCUCGUGGGUGUAUGGUCCCAAACUCUACAGUGACCUCCCACCCUGACUUCACUGCUUACCACGGGCCCGCAGGCAAAUCUUACCUCUGCAUCUUCCCCCUCCGGGGGGAUGAGCCUCAACACAGCUGUCAACCAGUUCAGAAUGUCCUCAGUCCAUCGCCCGACCCCGCCAAGGGCGGGGACAGGCCCACGUUCCAAAAGGGCACUCAAAGUAUGCAGCGACGCUGGCCAACUACCCAACCCGUCUUGAAACACGGACCAAGGAG
This 797-nucleotide ribosomal RNA is filed under the name Hypostomus asperatus. Its description in RNAcentral is "eukaryotic LSU rRNA". It matches the Rfam family "Eukaryotic large subunit ribosomal RNA", at positions 61 to 673 of the family's 3401-position model. The record is from RNAcentral. Lineage: Eukaryota; Metazoa; Chordata; Actinopteri; Siluriformes; Loricariidae.